RNAcentral lists this ribosomal RNA (497 nucleotides) under uncultured bacterium. RNAcentral describes it as "partial 16S ribosomal RNA". It matches the Rfam family "Bacterial small subunit ribosomal RNA", at positions 28 to 507 of the family's 1533-position model. The record is from RNAcentral.
GACGAACGCUGGCGGCGUGCCUAAUACAUGCAAGUUGAGCGCUGAAGGUUGGUACUUGUACCAACUGGAUGAGCAGCGAACGGGUGAGUAACGCGUGGGGAAUCUGCCUUUGAGCGGGGGACAACAUUUGGAAACGAAUGCUAAUACCGCAUAAAAACUUUAAACACAAGUUUUAAGUUUGAAAGAUGCAAUUGCAUCACUCAAAGAUGAUCCCGCGUUGUAUUAGCUAGUUGGUGAGGUAAAGGCUCACCAAGGCGAUGAUACAUAGCCGGCCUGAGAGGGGGAUCGGCCACAUUGGGACUGAGACACGGCCCAAACUCCUACGGGAGGCAGCAGUAGGGAAUCUUCGGCAAUGGACGAAAGUCUGACCGAGCAACGCCGCGGGAGUGAAGAAGGUUUUCGGAUCGUAAAACUCUGUUGGUAGAGAAGAACGUUGGUGAGAGUGGAAAGCUCAUCAAGUGACGGUAACUACCCAGAAAGGGACGGCUAACUACGUG